GUAGUCUCGCACAGAUGCAUAUCAAUAAGCGGAGGAAAAGAAACUAACAAGGAUUCCCUUAGUAACGGCGAGUGAAGCGGGAAGAGCUCAAAUUUGAAAUCUUCAAGGUUUUACCUUGACGAAUUGUAAUUUAAAGAAGUGUUUUCUGUUGAAGUUUUGGUAAAAGUUCUUUGGAAUAGGGACAUCAUAGAGGGUGAGAAUCCCGUAUUUGACCAUUAUUUUCAGCUGUGUGAUACACUUUCAAAGAGUCGGAUUGUUUGGGAAUGCAGUCCAAAAUGGGUAGUAAAUUUCAUCUAAAGCUAAAUAUUGGCGAGAGACUGAUAGCGAACAAGUACCGUGAGGGAAAGAUGAAAAGAACUUUGAAAAGAGAGUUAAACAGUACGUGAAAUUGUCAAAAGGGAAGCGUUUGACACCUGUGUUGUUUUCUCGAAAAUCAAUUAAAAAGAGUUAGAUUUUGUUGUGUAUUGACCUUAACAGCUUGCAUUUCAAUUUUCUUGCUUUUUUUAAUGCACUUUUCGUUUAACAAGUCGACAUCAGUUUCUUUUGUUGUAAAAAGGUCAUUGGAAGGUGGCUUUCUUUUCGGAGAAAGUGUUUAUAGCCUUUGACUCCUGCAAUCGGAGAGACUGAGGUCUGCAGCGUAGAUCCUUCGGGGUUAGAUACAUUUGUGCUAAGUUAUAGCUUUUUAUAGACAACUUGUUGACUAUGAUUAGUCUUGUAGCUUACUCGCUUAUGCUAUUUUACCUACGCUUAGGAUGUUGAGCGCAUGUCUCUCUCU
This 775-nucleotide ribosomal RNA is filed under the name uncultured Neocallimastigales. RNAcentral's name for it is "partial large subunit ribosomal RNA". It matches the Rfam family "Eukaryotic large subunit ribosomal RNA", at positions 24 to 616 of the family's 3401-position model. Lineage: Eukaryota; Fungi; Neocallimastigomycota; Neocallimastigomycetes; Neocallimastigales. The record is from RNAcentral.